AAACCUAAUAUCUGUAGGAGUUUUUCGAAUUCUGGUUUUGCUGCUGCACUGAAACCGUCCCCGUUUACGGGGACGUACUUUAAGCGUUGGCAGACUAAAACCACCUUAUGGCUCACGGCCAUGAACGUGUUCUGGGUCGCCGGUGUGACUCCUACAGGAACGAUCGCUCCUGAACAGGAGAAGGCGUUUAAGGAGGCCACCGUGGUGUUCCUCGGGGCAGUUCUGAGCGUGAUUGGAGAUAAGCUGGUUGAUGCAUAUUUACAUAUGCGGUCUGCCAAGGACUUGUGGGAGGCGCUCGAAUCUAAGUUCGGGGCUGCCGAUGCAGGGAGCGAGAUGUAUAUUAUAGAGCAGUUCCACGAUUACAAGAUGGUUGAAAACCGUCCUGUAUUGGAGCAGGCUCAUGAGAUAAUAUGCAUUGUUAAGGAGCUUGAGCUUCUUAAGUGCGAGUUACCGGGCAAAUUUGUCGCGGGCUGCAUAAUCGCUAAGCUCCCCAAUUCCUGGAGGAACUUUGCCACCACUCUGAAACAUCAGAGGCGUGAAUUCUCUGUGGAGGAUGUCAUUGGCCAUCUGAGUGUUGAGCAGAACUCAAGGGCAAAGGACUCGCACGGAAAAGGGGUCGAAGGAACUUCUGUGGCCAAUAUGGUGCAUCAGAAGAACUCCAAUUCCCACAAGCCCAGGGGAAAGAACGGUGUCCAACAGACUGCCGACUUUAAGAAGAAGGGUAAGAAGACCUUCAAGAAGAACAAGAAGGAUGAGGGCUGCUUUACUUGUGGUUCGGCUGAACAUUGGGCCAACAAGUGCCCAAACAAGUUUAAGAAGUCAGGACAGGACUCCAAGUCUGUCAACAUGAUUGUGAGCAACAAUGAGAAUGGUGCAUCUGGGUACGGUAAUUUAUUUACUGUUUUUUCAGUGUUUCAGCCUACCGAUUGGUGGGUGGAUACAGGUGCAGGUGUUCAUGUGUGUGCUGACAUUUCAUUGUUCUCUUCUUACCAGGUCACAGGCCACGGGUCCGUAUUGAUGGGGAAUGGCGCGAGUGCUUCUGUUCAUGGUGUUGGCACGGUCGAUCUGAAGUUUACUUCGGGAAGGAUCGUGCAGCUGAAGAACGUGCAGCAUGUCCCCGCCAUCAAGAAGAACCUCGUUAGUGGCUCCCUUCUAUGUAGAGAAGGGUUUAAGUUGGUAUUCGAGUCUAAUAAAUUAGUUGUUACUAAGUAUGGACUAUUUGUUGGAAAAGGUUAUGAGAGCGGAGGGAUGUUCCGCCUUUCCCUCGCAGAUUUCUGUAAUAAAGUCGUGAACCAUAUUCAUUCGAGUAUUAAUGAAUCUGAGGUUUGGCAC
This 1332-nucleotide ribosomal RNA is filed under the name Triticum aestivum (bread wheat). RNAcentral's name for it is "partial small subunit ribosomal RNA". Lineage: Eukaryota; Viridiplantae; Streptophyta; Magnoliopsida; Poales; Poaceae. The record is from RNAcentral.